GAUCAUGGCUCAGGACGAACGCUGGCGGCGCGCCUAACACAUGCAAGUCGAACGAGCGAGAGAGGGCUUGCUUUCUCAAGCGAGUGGCGAACGGGUGAGUAACGCGUGAGGAACCUGCCUCAAAGAGGGGGACAACAGUUGGAAACGACUGCUAAUACCGCAUAAGCCCACGACCCGGCAUCGGGUAGAGGGAAAAGGAGCAAUCCGCUUUGAGAUGGCCUCGCGUCCGAUUAGCUAGUUGGUG
This 244-nucleotide ribosomal RNA is filed under the name uncultured bacterium. RNAcentral's name for it is "partial 16S ribosomal RNA". It matches the Rfam family "Bacterial small subunit ribosomal RNA", at positions 15 to 254 of the family's 1533-position model. The record is from RNAcentral.